GGAGAGAUGGCCGAGUGGCUGAAGGCAACGGUUUGCUAAACCGUCGUACUGGGAAUCCCCGGUACCGAGGGUUCGAAUCCCUCUCUCUCCG
RNAcentral lists this transfer RNA (91 nucleotides) under Phycisphaeraceae bacterium. Its description in RNAcentral is "tRNA-Ser". It matches the Rfam family "tRNA". Rfam says of the family: Transfer RNA (tRNA) molecules are approximately 80 nucleotides in length. Their secondary structure includes four short double-helical elements and three loops (D, anti-codon, and T loops). The record is from RNAcentral. Lineage: Bacteria; Pseudomonadati; Planctomycetota; Phycisphaerae; Phycisphaerales; Phycisphaeraceae.